Molecule: ribosomal RNA, 437 nt
Filed under: uncultured Saccharofermentans sp.
Lineage: Bacteria; Bacillati; Bacillota; Clostridia; Eubacteriales; Oscillospiraceae
Description: bacterial SSU rRNA
Rfam family: Bacterial small subunit ribosomal RNA
Source: RNAcentral
ACGGAAGGCAGCAGUGGGGAAUAUUGGGCAAUGGGGGAAACCCUGACCCAGCAACGCCGCGUGAAGGAAGAAGGCUUUCGGGUUGUAAACUUCUUUUACCAGGGACGAAGGACGUGACGGUACCUGGAGAAAAAGCCACGGCUAACUACGUGCCAGCAGCCGCGGUAAUACGUAGGUGGCAAGCGUUAUCCGGAUUUACUGGGUGUAAAGGGCGUGUAGGCGGCUCUGCAAGUCAGAAGUGAAAUUCCCGGGCUCAACCUGGGCGCUGCUUCUGAAACUGCAGAACUUGAGUACUGGAGGGGAAAGCGGAAUUCCUAGUGUAGCGGUAAAAUGCGCAGAUAUUAGGAGGAACACCGGUGGCGAAGGCGGCUUUCUGGACAGUAACUGACGCUGAGGCGCGAAAGCGUGGGGAGCAAACAGGAUUAGAUACCCUGGUA